This is a long non-coding RNA of Labeo rohita (rohu), 2261 nucleotides long. RefSeq lists it as uncharacterized. The transcript has 4 exons. The record is from RefSeq and is a predicted model, not a curated record. NCBI's taxonomy places the organism in Eukaryota, Metazoa, Chordata, Actinopteri, Cypriniformes, Cyprinidae.
UUUUGAAUCUAUUACUUAUUCCUUACUUACACUUAUACUUAUCUAUCACAGCUUUUGAAGAAUAUUAAUUUUGUUCUGUUUUAGUGAAUUAAGCAAGAACUUUAUUUAAAUUGGAAUAAAAAUAUAUAUCUAAUAGAUGACAAUUGAUCAUUUGUGGUUUUUAAUAUUAAAUGAAGUUCUUCUAUGGAAAAGACAACAUUACUAACCAGACAACAAACAAAUAUUUGUUUUACAUUAUAAAUAAGUCUGUAUAAAUAUUGGCAACACUUCAGUAUGCUCUAAUAACAUAAAGUGUGUUUUGUUUUCUCAGAAAUGUUUGAAACAAUGGACAAUAUUAUUAGAAGUGUUCUUUCAAAAAUGUCUGAAAUUAGAUUAUUAAUGAUUGAUAGAAAAAAAACUCAUAAUGGGGAUGAAUUAAGUAUUCCAUUUUAUAGAAAAUCGUUUUGUUCUGAUGAAAUAUUACCUGACAGUUUAAAAAGGUUAAAAUCUACACCUGGUCCUCUAGUUAUCGAAAAUGGUAAAAUUAUGUCUUGUAAUGACAAAUGUUUAUCAGGCCAGUUUCCCUGUUACAUUUUAGUAUGGUCAUCAGAUAUUAAGAAAGGUUGGAUCAGCAGAGGUCUAGGGUUCUAUUACAGGUCUAAAACUGUAAUAACAGCCAAACAUGUCAUAGAAGGUUACGAAAAUUACGAUAUAUAUGUCCUUUUUUCAACUCAUGAAUAUUGCUUAAUAUAUAACGUCCAGGAAAUCGUCCCAGAACCUAACCGUGAUAUUGCUUUAAUUAAAUUAUGUGGAUGUUUAGAUCCAUUACAAAACAUGAAACUAGAAAUAGGCCAGUUAGGUGAAAAUAUGGAGCUAUAUUUUUAUGUAUUAGAGUCAGGGCAUUUUAGAAGAAAAGACUGUAAAAUCAAAAUCCCCAAUACAAAUAUGAAAAUGCAAAUGAAUUUAGCUAAUGAAUUUGUUAUAUCUGAAGCAGGCAGAAAUGGAGACAGUGGAACACCUAUUUUUUCAAGCUCCGGCAUUUGUGUUGGAUUAUAUAUUGCUGAUUUCACUGCAAUAAACUCAUUAAACCCAGUUAAAUAUGGCAGAGCUUUACACUUAACACCUCUCUGAUUUUACUGUAAACAUAUAAAUAUUUACCAUAAUGGAUUUUUUUUUAACAUUUUUUUAAUGAAAAAAAAAAAAAAAACACUGAAAAACAAAAUAACAAAUUUUUAUUUAUAUAUAUAAAAAAGGGAAAAUAUAUAAAUGUUAAAAGUGUUUCUCAAUCUUGCUCCUUGGACCUAAAACUAAAACCACAAAAAAUAAAAAAAAAAAAAAAAUAAAUAAAAGUUUUACCUUCAUCUUACAAUCUUAUAAUCCUAUAUAAUUAAUCUUAUUUUGUUUGAACUAGUUGAACUAAAUAAACUAACAUGAAUAGAUAAAAAUUACUGAUUAACUACUGUAAAUGGAAUCUAUAAUUUUAAAAAACGAAUAAAAGUUACAAAACUUUAACUGAUGUGACAACAUAAAGAUAAAAUCUAAUUCAAAAUAUUAACAAUGGGGAACCAAAAUCGCAUCAAUGCAAAAACAUGCUUUUGGAACCUUUAUUUUUAAGAGCAUAUAAAUGAUACUAAAAUAACACAGGUUUUGGACAGCGAAGAGAUCUAGAAUGUAAACUGUUUGGGCGAGGGAGUGGAGGUGGCAGGGUUGGGUGGGCAAAACCACAGGACAGGGCAGACAGGGACAUGAUUGAGAAACACUUUGAAAACAUUUACAAACAUAAUUGGCAUUUUUGCACUUCUAAUAAUAUUGUCCAUUGUUUGGCAAAUACCCGAAGAGAGAUCUUGUGUCUUGCCCACAACAAUACCUUGUAUGCUGGUCUGGAGCAUGUGGAAUCUACAUUAAGGUGGUGCAGGAACAAUAAUUGCUUUGAAUGACCUCCAGGCCACAUACGUCACUUUUGGGUCAAGUUACACUCAGACGAUCUCUCUUUGUAAAUUACAUCUGAUCUAAAAAAAAAAAAAAACAAUGUCAGCAAAUAUCAAUUCAAAGGAACAACUUGAUUUACAAACAAAGCCAGAAGCCAGGAGAGCAACUGUGCCUUGACCAACACAACAGAACAUGACACCCCCUCUGCACAUCACACUAUCUGUCAGUCUCAUGUUGAAAAAUACAACCACCUACAACCAUUUGACCAUCUCUCCUUGAAUAAUAUACAAAUAAAUAUGUAACAAUGUUUUUGUUCCUUUGAAUAAAUUGUGAGCAUUGCAAUGGGUUUGUUU